This 492-nucleotide ribosomal RNA is filed under the name uncultured bacterium. RNAcentral describes it as "partial 16S ribosomal RNA". It matches the Rfam family "Bacterial small subunit ribosomal RNA", at positions 30 to 507 of the family's 1533-position model. The record is from RNAcentral.
AGCGAACGCUGGCGGCAGGCCUAACACAUGCAAGUCGAACGGCAGUUCCGUGAGUGGUUGCGCAUGCGGGUGGAGCGCGGCGGAAGGGGGCGGUAUACAUCGGAUACUACAGUUUCACGGGGGAUAAUACAGGGAGAGUUACGCUGAGAACAGAUUAGUCCUCUGGGGGAAGGCCGGGGACUUUUUGGCCUUGCGCGUGUGGUAGUGCCGAUCUCGGAUUAGCUAGAUGGCCGGGUAAGGGCCGACCAAGGCGACGAUCCGUAGGUGGUCAGAGAGCAAGGACAGCCACACUGGAACUGAGACACGGUCCAGACUCCGACGGGAGGCAGCAGUGGGGAAUAUUGGGCAAGGGGCGCGAGCCUGAUCCAGCGAUACCGCGUGGGUGAAGAAGGCCUUCGGGUUGGAAAGCCCUUUUGUUGGGAAAGAAAAGCAGCAGUUUAAUACCCCGCUGUUCUGACGGUACCCAAAGAAGAAGCACCGGCUAACUUCGUG